RNAcentral lists this ribosomal RNA (889 nucleotides) under Desulfovibrionaceae bacterium enrichment culture clone SLAb1-4. RNAcentral's name for it is "bacterial SSU rRNA". It matches the Rfam family "Bacterial small subunit ribosomal RNA", at positions 9 to 873 of the family's 1533-position model. The record is from RNAcentral. Lineage: Bacteria; Pseudomonadati; Thermodesulfobacteriota; Desulfovibrionia; Desulfovibrionales; Desulfovibrionaceae.
AGAGUUUGAUUCCUGGNUCAGAAUGAACGCUGGCGGCGUGCCUAACACAUGCAAGUCGAGCGAGAAAGCCCNUUCGGGGGUGAGUAAAGCGGCGGACGGGUGAGUAACGCGUGGAUAAUUUACCUUUGGGUUCGGGAUAACCUGUCGAAAGAUGGGCUAAUACCGGAUACGCUGCGUUUUGCUUAUGCAAGGCGUGGGAAAGAUGGCCUCUGUUGCAAGCCAUUGCCCAAAGAUGAGUCCGCGUCCCAUUAGCUAGUUGGUGGGGUAAUUGCCUACCAAGGCGACGAUGGGUAGCUGGUCUGAGAGGAUGGUCAGCCACACUGGGACUGGAACACGGCCCAGACUCCUACGGGAGGCAGCAGUGGGGAAUCUUGGGCAAUGGGGGAAACCCUGACCCAGCAACGCCGCGUGAGGGAAGAAGGCCUUCGGGUCGUAAACCUCUGUCAGGAGGGAAGAAAAGGCCGCGAUCUAACAGGUUGCGGUUUUGACGGUACCCCCAGAGGAAGCACCGGCUAACUCCGUGCCAGCAGCCGCGGUAACACGGAGGGUGCAAGCGUUAUUCGGAAUUACUGGGCGUAAAGCGCACGUAGGCGGUGCGGUAAGUCAGAUGUGAAAGCCCCGGGCUCAACCUGGGAAUUGCAUUUGAUACUGCCGCGCUAGAGUAAGGUAGAGGGUGGCGGAAUUCCCGGUGUAGGGGUGAAAUCCGUAGAUAUCGGGAGGAACACCAGUGGCGAAGGCGGCCACCUGGGCCUUUACUGACGCUGAGGUGCGAAAGCGUGGGUAGCAAACAGGAUUAGAUACCCUGGUAGUCCACGCCGUAAACUUUGGAUAGNUAGGUGCUGGGUUUUAAAUUCGGUGCCGUAGCUAACGCGUUAAGUUNCCCGCCUGG